UAGAAGAUAUUUUCUAAAAUUUUUCAAUAUGUAGGCAUGGGCAUAAACUUUCUGAACACAAUUGUUAUGCAAAAGAUAAUAUCCAGAAUCUUCCAUGAGGAGGAGGCGUAGCGUUUCUUCCUGAGCGUGAAGCUGGCUCUUGGUGUUGCCUUGCUGCAACUGCCACUUGCCACUGAUGAGCAUUCUUGUUUCUUCCCUGGAGGGAGCAAGAGGGAAGGAAUGCAGUCUGAGUGGC
RNAcentral lists this small nucleolar RNA (235 nucleotides) under Octodon degus (degu). RNAcentral's name for it is "Small nucleolar RNA U3 (ENSODEG00000025263.1)". It matches the Rfam family "Small nucleolar RNA U3". From Rfam's summary of the family: Small nucleolar RNAs (snoRNAs) are involved in the processing and modification of rRNA in the nucleolus. The record is from Rfam by way of RNAcentral. Lineage: Eukaryota; Metazoa; Chordata; Mammalia; Rodentia; Octodontidae.